RNAcentral lists this transfer RNA (76 nucleotides) under Bacillaceae bacterium SAOS 7. Its description in RNAcentral is "tRNA-Phe". It matches the Rfam family "tRNA". From Rfam's summary of the family: Transfer RNA (tRNA) molecules are approximately 80 nucleotides in length. Lineage: Bacteria; Bacillati; Bacillota; Bacilli; Caryophanales; Bacillaceae. The record is from RNAcentral.
GGCUCAGUAGCUCAGUUGGUAGAGCAAUGGACUGAAAAUCCAUGUGUCGGCGGUUCGAUUCCGUCCUGAGCCACCU